AGAGUUUGAUCCUGGCUCAGGAUGAACGCUGGCGGCGUGCCUAACACAUGCAAGUCGAGCGAUCUUCUUCGGAAGAGAGCGGCGGGCGGGUGAGUAACGCGUGGGUAACCUGCCCUGUACACACGGAUAACAUACCGAAAGGUAUGCUAAUACGAGAUAACAUAAGAAAUUCGCAUGUUUUUCUUAUCAAAGCUCCGGCGGUACAGGAUGGACCCGCGUCUGAUUAGCUAGUUGGUGAGGUAACGGCUCACCAAGGCGACGAUCAGUAGCCGACCUGAGAGGGUGAUCGGCCACAUUGGAACUGAGACACGGUCCAAACUCCUACGGGAGGCAGCAGUGGGGAAUAUUGCACAAUGGGCGAAAGCCUGAUGCAGCAACGCCGCGUGAGCGAUGAAGGCCUUCGGGUCGUAAAGCUCUGUCCUCAAGGAAGAUAAUGACGGUACUUGAGGAGGAAGCCCCGGCUAACUACGUGCCAGCAGCCGCGGUAAUACGUAGGGGGCUAGCGUUAUCCGGAUUUACUGGGCGUAAAGGGUGCGUAGGCGGUCUUUUAAGUCAGGAGUGAAAGGCUACGGCUCAACCGUAGUAAGCUCUUGAAACUGGAGGACUUGAGUGCAGGAGAGGAGAGUGGAAUUCCUAGUGUAGCGGUGAAAUGCGUAGAUAUUAGGAGGAACACCAGUAGCGAAGGCGGCUCUCCGGACUGUAACUGACGCUGAGGCACGAAAGCGUGGGGAGCAAACAGGAUUAGAUACCCUGGUAGUCCACGCCGUAAACGAUGAGUACUAGGUGUCGGGGGUUACCCCCCUCGGUGCCGCAGCUAACGCAUUAAGUACUCCGCCUGGGGAGUACGCUCGCAAGAGUGAAACUCAAAGGAAUUGACGGGGACCCGCACAAGUAGCGGAGCAUGUGGUUUAAUUCUAAGCAACGCGAAGAACCUUACCUAAGCUUGACAUCCUUUUGACCGAUGCCUAAUCGCAUCUUUCCCUUCGGGGACAGAAGUGACAGGUGGUGCAUGGUUGUCGUCAGCUCGUGUCGUUAGAUGUUGGGUUAAGUCCCGCAACGAGCGCAACCCUUGCCUUUAGUUGCCAUCAUUAAGUUGGGCACUCUAGAGGGACUGCCAGGGAUAACCUGGAGGAAGGUGGGGAUGACGUCAAAUCAUCAUGCCCCUUAUGCUUAGGGCUACACACGUGCUACAAUGGGUGGUACAGAGGGCAGCGAAGUCGUGAGGCCAAGCUAAUCCCUUAAAGCCAUUCUCAGUUCGGAUUGUAGGCUGAAACUCGCCUACAUGAAGCUGGAGUUACUAGUAAUCGCAGAUCAGAAUGCUGCGGUGAAUGCGUUCCCGGGUCUUGUACACACCGCCCGUCACACCAUGGGAGUUGGGGGCGCCCGAAGCCGGCUAGCUAACCUUUUGGAAGCGGUCGUCGAAGGUGAAACCAAUAACUGGGGUGAAGUCGUAACAAGGUA
This 1461-nucleotide ribosomal RNA is filed under the name metagenome. RNAcentral describes it as "bacterial SSU rRNA". It matches the Rfam family "Bacterial small subunit ribosomal RNA". The record is from RNAcentral.